CCUACGGGAGGCUGCAGUAGGGAAUAUUGGACAAUGGGGGAAACCCUGAUCCAGCAAUGCCGCGUGAGUGAAGAAGGCCUUCGGGUUGUAAAGCUCUUUCAUCAAUGAUGAUAAUGACAUUAGUUGAAGAAGAAGCCCCGGCUAACUUCGUGCCAGCAGCCGCGGUAAUACGAAGGGGGCUAGCGUUGUUCGGAAUCACUGGGCGUAAAGCGUAUGUAGGCGGAUCAAAAAGUUAGAUGUGAAAUCCCUGGGCUCAACCCAGGAACUGCAUUUAAAACUAGUGAUCUAGAAUUUGGUAGGGGCCAGUAGAAUUUCCAGUGUAGAGGUGAAAUUCGUAGAUAUUGGAAAGAAUACCAGUGGCGAAGGCGACUGGCUGGGCCAUUUUUGACGCUGAGAUACGAAAGCGUGGGUAGCAAACAGGAUUAGAUACCCCAGUAGUC
This 440-nucleotide ribosomal RNA is filed under the name uncultured bacterium. RNAcentral's name for it is "bacterial SSU rRNA". It matches the Rfam family "Bacterial small subunit ribosomal RNA", at positions 338 to 795 of the family's 1533-position model. The record is from RNAcentral.